AAGCAAGCUCUAUUCUCUUACCAUACACCCUACCGCACUCAACAGGUUCCAAAACCUCCCCCUAAAUCCGAAAACCCUAAACUACUCGCAGCACAGUCUCUUUCUCUUUUGAUCUUUUACCUCUGCCAUCAUUUCGAUACUCAAUCAACAAUGGCGUUCUUCUCCCGCCUCCGCAACCAAACCCUAAACCGCCGGAACUUUUCCACGAUCCUCUCGCCGGACUCCAAAACCACACUCUC
This 239-nucleotide long non-coding RNA is filed under the name Linum usitatissimum (flax). RNAcentral describes it as "long non-coding RNA (LUSI_LNC001303)". Lineage: Eukaryota; Viridiplantae; Streptophyta; Magnoliopsida; Malpighiales; Linaceae. The record is from RNAcentral.